Molecule: ribosomal RNA, 363 nt
Filed under: Triticum aestivum (bread wheat)
Lineage: Eukaryota; Viridiplantae; Streptophyta; Magnoliopsida; Poales; Poaceae
Description: partial small subunit ribosomal RNA
Source: RNAcentral
AUGGCUUUAAGAAACACCGCUGUAUUCCUCGUCAGACUGCUGCUCUCGUGCGUCGCCAUGAGCGGCGCGGCAAGAAUUCUGGAGGAGGAGACAACUCCUUCCAAAGGCGAGGAGCACCUGCCCGAGCUGCCAACGCUGCCCAAGGUCGGGCUGCCGCCAUUCCCGGAGGUGCACCCGCCACCUAAGCCCGAGUUGCUCAAGGUAGAGCUGCUCGCGUUCCCUGAGGUGCACCUGCCACCCAAGCCCGAGCUGCCAACAUUUCCGGAGGUGCACCUUCCAGCCAAGCCGGAGCUGCUGCCACCGAAGCCAGAGAUGCCCACCAUCCCGGAGUUCCACUUCACGGAACCGGAGGCUAAGCCAUGA